UUUAUUGGGUUUAAAGGGAGCGUAGGCUGGAGAUUAAGUGUGUUGUGAAAUGUAGACGCUCAACGUCUGACUUGCAGCGCAUACUGGUUUCCUUGAGUACGCACAACGUUGGCGGAAUUCGUCGUGUAGCGGUGAAAUGCUUAGAUAUGACGAAGAACUCCGAUUGCGAAGGCAGCUGACGGGAGCGCAACUGACGCUGAAGCUCGAAGGUGCGGGUAUCGAACAGGAUUAGAUACCCUGGUAGUCCGCACAGUAAACGAUGGAUGCCCGCUGUUGGUACCUGGUAUCAGCGGCUAAGCGAAAGCAUUAAGCAUCCCACCUGGGGAGUACGCCGGCAACGGUGAAACUCAAAGGAAUUGACGGGGGCCCGCACAAGCGGAGGAACAUGUGGUUUAAUUCGAUGAUACGCGAGGAACCUUACCCGGGCUUGAA
RNAcentral lists this ribosomal RNA (432 nucleotides) under uncultured bacterium. RNAcentral describes it as "bacterial SSU rRNA". It matches the Rfam family "Bacterial small subunit ribosomal RNA", at positions 550 to 985 of the family's 1533-position model. The record is from RNAcentral.